RNAcentral lists this ribosomal RNA (253 nucleotides) under uncultured bacterium. RNAcentral's name for it is "partial 16S ribosomal RNA". It matches the Rfam family "Bacterial small subunit ribosomal RNA", at positions 524 to 776 of the family's 1533-position model. The record is from RNAcentral.
UACGGGGGGGGCAAGCGUUGUUCGGAAUUACUGGGCGUAAAGGGCUCGUAGGCGGCCAACUAAGCCAUACGUGAAAUCCCUCGGCUUAACCGGGGAACUGCGUCUGAUACUGGAUGGCUUGAGUUCGGGAGAGGGAUGCGGAAUUCCAGGUGUAGCGGUGAAAUGCGUAGAUAUCUGGAGGAACACCGGUGGCGAAGGCGGCAUCCUGGACCGACACUGACGCUGAGGAGCGAAAGCCAGGGGAGCAAACGGG